AGGACGAACGCUGGCGGCGCGCUUAACACAUGCAAGUCGAGCGAGAACCUCGUCCUUCGGGACUUGGGACGAGCGGCGAACGGGUGAGUAACACGUGAGUAAUCCACCCUUGGUACCGGGAUAGCCCGGGGAAACUCGGAUUAAUACCGGAUGGCCCAUCAGCUUUUCGGAGCGGAUGGAAAAGGUAGCUUCGGCCUCCGACCAAGGACGAGCUCGCGGCGGAUUAGCUUGUUGGCGGGGUAACGGCCCACCAAGGCGACGAUCCGUAGCUGGUCUGAGAGGACGAUCAGCCACACUGGGACUGAGACACGGCCCAGACUCCUACGGGAGGCAGCAGUGGGGGAAUCUUGCGCAAUGGGCGAAAGCCUGACGCAGCGACGCCGCGUGAGGGAAGAAGGCCUUCGGGUUGUAAACCUCUUUCAGAAGGGACGAAGCCACUCGGGUUAAUAGCCCAGAGGGUGACGGUACCUUCAGAAGAAGCCCCGGCUAACUACGUGCCAGCAGCCGCGGU
RNAcentral lists this ribosomal RNA (511 nucleotides) under uncultured bacterium. RNAcentral describes it as "SSU rRNA". It matches the Rfam family "Bacterial small subunit ribosomal RNA", at positions 26 to 521 of the family's 1533-position model. The record is from RNAcentral.